This 404-nucleotide ribosomal RNA is filed under the name Fusobacteriota bacterium. RNAcentral describes it as "Fusobacteria bacterium partial 16S ribosomal RNA". It matches the Rfam family "Bacterial small subunit ribosomal RNA", at positions 355 to 776 of the family's 1533-position model. The record is from RNAcentral. Lineage: Bacteria; Fusobacteriati; Fusobacteriota.
UGGGGAAUAUUGCACAAUGGAGGGAACUCUGAUGCAGCGACGCCGCGUGAGUGAUGAAGGAAUUCGUUUCGUAAAACUCUGUUCUAUGGGAAGAAAAGGACUGUACCAUAGGAGAAAGCUCCGGCUAAAUACGUGCCAGCAGCCGCGGUAAUACGUAUGGAGCGAGCGUUGUCCGGAAUUAUUGGGCGUAAAGGGUGCGCAGGCGGCUUUACAAGUUGGAUGUGAAAUAUUGUGGCUCAACCACAAACGUGCAUCCAAAACUGCAAAGCUUGAGUUAAGGAGAGGUAAGUGCAAUUCCUGGUGUAGCGGUGGAAUGCGUAGAUAUCAGGAGGAAUACCGGUGGCGAAGGCGACUUACUGGACUUAAACUGACGCUCAGGCACGAAAGCGUGGGGAGCAAACAGG